Molecule: ribosomal RNA, 498 nt
Filed under: uncultured bacterium
Lineage: Bacteria
Description: bacterial SSU rRNA
Rfam family: Bacterial small subunit ribosomal RNA
Source: RNAcentral
UGAACGCUGGCGGCAGGCCUAACACAUGCAAGUCGAGCGGAAACGACAUCUUCGGAUGGGCGUCGAGCGGCGGACGGGUGAGUAACGCGUAGAUAUCUGCCUUUUAGUGGAGGAUAACCCGGGGAAACUCGGGCUAAUACUGCAUAAUCUCUACGGAGCAAAGCGGGGCUCUCUACCCUCGCGCUGAAAGAUGAGUCUACGUCUGAUUAGCUAGUUGGUGCGGUAACGGCGUACCAAGGCGACGAUCAGUAGCUGGUCUGAGAGGAUGAUCAGCCACACCGGGACUGAGACACGGCCCGGACUCCUACGGGAGGCAGCAGUGGGGAAUAUUGGACAAUGGGCGACAGCCUGAUCCAGCCAUGCCGCGUGUGUGAAGAAGGCCUUAGGGUUGUAAAGCACUUUAAGCAGGAAAGAAAAGCGCCGGGUUAAUACCCCGAGCGUAUUGACGGUACCUGCAGAAUAAGCACCGGCUAACUCCGUGCCAGCAGCCGCGGUAAU